This is a long non-coding RNA of Helicoverpa armigera (cotton bollworm), 906 nucleotides long. RefSeq lists it as uncharacterized. The transcript has 2 exons. The record is from RefSeq and is a predicted model, not a curated record. Lineage: Eukaryota; Metazoa; Arthropoda; Insecta; Lepidoptera; Noctuidae.
UUCGUUUUCACGGAGUUAUUGAUACAAGAAGCGGUUAUCGCUUGUUCAGGAGCCGUCACAAAUGGUACUAUUUAAUCCUGUAAUUGGUAGUACCAGUAUAAUACCUUGAUCGCUACCGUUAUGCGUGGGUGGUGAAGGAACAAAAAUGAAAUUUUAUAGUAUUGAGUUGUUUCUCGGAUUCAUCAUCUUGUCAUGUCAAGUGCACCGAUACGAUAGCAUUUCACCGGAUAGAAUAUAUAUAUCAAGGCGAGAAGCAUACACGGAUCCUGGCCAUGAGAUUAUAGAACUACUCGGAAGCAGGAGGGAUGGAAAUUAUGGACAUCGAAUUCAUCACGGACUUACGGUCCCCUAUGUUGAGAGAGCUCAAUAUCUUCGAUCUCAAGACGACUCAUUGCUAGCUAAGAAACUGUAUCUGACUAACGACGGAGAAAUAAUUGAAAUACCUCCACAUAUUGGUCCUAAAGUAAAUUUUGCUGACAUUGAUAAAUUGGUGCUAGAUCGACUAAAAGAAGAGGACCGAAAUUUCCUAGAAGCAAAUCUGACACCAGCUGAAAGAGAGGCUCUUCUGAUCAAAGUGCAAACUGAAGGGGAGAAUUUUUCCCUGAAUGAAAACCGAUUUGGAGGUUACCUAAAAAACCUUGCCUCUGAUGUCGGUGCUGGCGCAGCCGGUUUUAUCGGCAAAAAGUUAGCCGGUCCUCUUGGUGGUCAGCUAGGAGUAGCCAUGGGAAGUUAUCUUGUAUUCGCAAUGACCGAAUUGUUGGGAAACAUCAAAGGGAAAAUUCGAGGAACUUCAGUCACAAGUAACGGAACCACUACGAGUGUUAGGACCGUUACAAUGGAUGACCGAAGAAGAAUAAACAGAUACAUUUAAAUUUCUAUAUUUUUAAUAAAAAUAAAGAACUGGUA